UUUAUUAGUAUGUGCCAUUUUAAUUGUUCUCUCUAGCUCUUCAGAUGAUUAUUCAGUCGUUGAUAUGUUAAUGUACUAAGAAGUGAGUAUUAAUGUGCUUGCUCGACUAAGCUUUAAGAUGCUUAUAAGCACUUAGUCUUAAGGAAUUUGUGGUUUAAAGUAGAUAAAAGUUGUGGGUACCAAAAAAUGUGUAGUUAAAAAUGAUUUUUGACGAUCUUAUAAGAACUCUCAAACAAGCUUUUAAUGAAU
RNAcentral lists this long non-coding RNA (249 nucleotides) under Olea europaea (common olive). RNAcentral's name for it is "long non-coding RNA (OEUR_LNC013599)". The record is from RNAcentral. Lineage: Eukaryota; Viridiplantae; Streptophyta; Magnoliopsida; Lamiales; Oleaceae.